Molecule: ribosomal RNA, 253 nt
Filed under: uncultured bacterium
Lineage: Bacteria
Description: partial 16S ribosomal RNA
Rfam family: Bacterial small subunit ribosomal RNA
Source: RNAcentral
UACGGAGGGUGCAAGCGUUAUCCGGAUUCACUGGGUUUAAAGGGUGUGUAGGCGGGCUGUUAAGUCAGUGGUGAAAUCUCCGGGUUCAACCCGGAAACUGCCAUUGAUACUAUCAGUCUUGAAUCUUGUUGAGGUAGGCGGAAUAUAUCAUGUAGCGGUGAAAUGCUUAGAUAUGAUAUAGAACACCGAUUGCGAAGGCAGCUUACUAAACAAGCAUUGACGCUGAGGCACGAAAGCGUGGGGAUCAAACAGG